This 253-nucleotide ribosomal RNA is filed under the name uncultured bacterium. RNAcentral's name for it is "partial 16S ribosomal RNA". It matches the Rfam family "Bacterial small subunit ribosomal RNA", at positions 524 to 776 of the family's 1533-position model. The record is from RNAcentral.
UACGUAGGCAGCGAGCGUUGUCCGGAAUUAUUGGGCGUAAAGCGCGCGCAGGCGGUCCUUUAAGUCUGAUGUGAAAGCCCACGGCUCAACCGUGGAGGGUCAUUGGAAACUGGGGGACUUGAGUACAGAAGAGAAGAGUGGAAUUCCGCGUGUAGUGGUGAAAUGCGUAGAGAUGCGGAGGAACACCAGUGGCGAAAGCGGCUUUCUGGUCCUUAACUGACGCUGAGGCGCGAAAGCAUGGGGAGCGAACGGG